GACGAAGGACCCGAGCGUUAUCCGGAUUCAUUGGGUUUAAAGGGUGCGUAGGCGGACUGAUAAGUCAGUGGUGAAAGCCUGUUGCUUAACAACAGAACUGCCAUUGAUACUGCCAGUCUUGAAUAUGUUUGAUGUGGGCGGAAUAUGACAUGUAGCGGUGAAAUGUUUAGAUAUGUCAUAGAACACCGAUUGCGAAGGCAGCUCACAAAGCCAUUAUUGACGCUGAGGCACGAAAGCGUGGGGAUCAAACAGG
RNAcentral lists this ribosomal RNA (253 nucleotides) under uncultured bacterium. RNAcentral's name for it is "partial 16S ribosomal RNA". It matches the Rfam family "Bacterial small subunit ribosomal RNA", at positions 524 to 776 of the family's 1533-position model. The record is from RNAcentral.